UACGUAGGGUGCGAGCGUUGUCCGGAAUUAUUGGGCGUAAAGAGCUUGUAGGCGGUUUGUCGCGUCUGCUGUGAAAAUCCGGGGCUCAACCCCGGACUUGCAGUGGGUACGGGCAGACUAGAGUGUGGUAGGGGAGACUGGAAUUCCUGGUGUAGCGGUGAAAUGCGCAGAUAUCAGGAGGAACACCGAUGGCGAAGGCAGGUCUCUGGGCCACUACUGACGCUGAGAAGCGAAAGCAUGGGGAGCGGACAGG
This 253-nucleotide ribosomal RNA is filed under the name uncultured bacterium. RNAcentral's name for it is "partial 16S ribosomal RNA". It matches the Rfam family "Bacterial small subunit ribosomal RNA", at positions 524 to 776 of the family's 1533-position model. The record is from RNAcentral.